GCUUGGAGGCGGAGACGGGACCCCCGGUGACGUCAGUGGGCCUGUCUGUUUCCUGCAAUAGAAAGUGAGGGAGAAGGUGAAGGCAGAAAACUGGAGCCGAACCCCCCCUCUUUCGUCGCUUUAAAGCGCCAGGGUGUUUCCUCAAAAAUCACACAGGAGAGAGCGAGAGAGAGAGAGAGAGGGAGAAAGAGAGGGAGGGUGAGACAGGCAAGGCUUGCUUUGCAGACAGACUGACAGGCAGACAGGCGUGCAUGUCUCCCUUCUCCACGUCGUCGGGAGCUGCUGUGGAGUGUCGCGUCCCCACCCCCAGGUGAGAGGAUUGUUUGUGUUUGCAUGGCGGGAGGAGGCGAGGGGGGGUCUUGCAAAUAAAGAUGGAUGGUACAAAAGCUGCAGAUGAUGCUCUCAUCCGAUGAUGUCAUCGCUCCGGCGCCACAUGUAGCAGCAAAGUGUAUGGAGAGAAAGAAGGGGGGGAGAAAAAAGAAAAAAAAGCAUCCACUUGUAGUAAAGUGUUAUGUAAUCACCGUGGAGGGCAGACAAAGGAAGCGCUGCAACGUGCAGGUGUUGCCGUGUCUUGACGGGGAAAAGCAUCAACAUCUAACAGGCGUAUCUUUUUUGUUGUUGCAGCUACUCGCGUGGAACCGGUUCACGUUCGCACGUCUGCUUUUUAAUAACAGUAGUAAAAAAUGUGCAAAUGAUGGCACACACGUGAUGAGAGUUGUCCUCUGUGUCACCCUAAGCGUUCAUCGCACAGAGCUUUUAUUGUGUGCAUCUUUCACUCUGGGCGAGCACCCACCCACAUGUCAAUCAGGCUGGUUCGGUCCCAAACUCCGGAGUGGCGGAUAGCGGCGGAAAAGUCACACCUCCACGGCCCCCGAGCGACACCGCAGAGGAGCCCCGAGGGGCACCUGUUUGAGGACUAUAACCUCAAUCGGCAGCUCUGUCCUGGACGAGCACGCAGCUGCCAAAUGUACGCCGAUGCCGCCGCCGUCACCCGCCACCUCGGGUCUCAGCUUCCCUCAAGGCUCGGCAGUAGAGGCCGGUUUUCCCAACAUGCACUUGUGAACUGAGGUGGGAAAGAUGCCGCGCACCAAGCAAAACAACCCGAAAAAUCUAAAAGAUAAAAUCGAAGAGGCGCAGAAAGAGCUUAAAGACACAAGCUCAACGAAAGGGACUUCUGGAAGCAGUCGACGAAUUGAAGAUAACAUCAAAGGCCUGAAGAGGAAAAAGGUUGUUGCGGAAAACAAGUUGAAGAAAAUUCCUAAGUCCCCGGUGAAGAAACCUCUACAGCUGAAAACUCCUGAAACUGCUGACCAAGGAGGAUCCUCUAGGGAAAAGAAAGCCUCUUGCUCCCCUGCUUCCAACAGGCCUUCCAAUCACCAUUCAACAUCACCGACUGGGGAAAGCGAGUCACAGGAUGCCCGACCGGUUGAACCACCCCCUGAAGAAGGGGUAUCCGUCACUGACCAUGAAAGACUGAAGCAAGAGGAAACAAAGCCAACGCCUCCGACACAGGAACCGGCUGAUGAAGAGGAGAGUUCUUUGAAAGGGACGUUACCUAAAGACAGUGACACCCAAAACUGUAGCGUUGAUACAACUGAUAAAGAUCCGUACCACACCAGCGCUCCACUUGAUGUCCUGCUGAAAGCGAUGGAGCCUGACAUGCUUACACUUGCCGAGAGGAAACAGUCUUUCCCAGUCUCAGGUCAGCACACUGGGGAAUUGUCCAACAUGCCAGCCGCCAAUGUUGGUCUUCAAACUCAGUCGUCUCCUAUGCAGACGUAUUAUAUUGACAAACAGGGUCAUUUCAUUGGCAUUGCAGCACCGUUACAGGGUAGUGUACAGGCAUCUAGGCAGGGUGAGGCUCUGCCGCCUCUAUCGUUUGCAAAUCAACAUUUUAUUCCCGUUGUUUCUAAUCCCGAAAAUCCAAGCAUUCACAUGAGCUUUAAUACUGGACCGCCUGCUAUGACUCAUGUACCUGCUCCAUCAGGCUCAAAUGCUUUGCCAAAAAGUCAACCCCCAAUUGUGCACACCUGCCGGUCGCUCUCUGCAACUGUUCCCAGCACCAUUCAGGUGCCAGUUACACCUGGGAACAACCAUGUUCAGCUUACGACUGUAAUGAACUUUGGCGGUGAGCAUGUUUCUAAGGACCAAAAGCCAAAGAAGCCCGGCAAGUAUAAAUGUGAGUACUGCCACCGGCCAUGUGCAAAGCCCAGCGUGCUGCUUAAACACAUCAGGUCUCACACAGGAGAAAGACCAUACCCGUGUGUAACCUGCGGUUUCUCUUUCAAAACCAAGAGCAACUUGUAUAAGCACAAGAAAUCCCAUGCUCACGCUAUAAAACUUGGUCUCAUUGCACGCUCUGAAUCAGGAGGUGGGCUGCUGCCACAAGAAUCCGACAAAGCCCUUGGAACACAUUGUGAGGUAGAGGAGAGCGGGGACAGCGAUGAAGAAGGUAGCACUGUAGACCUGGAUCCGGACUCAUCGCAGAGCAGUGCAGCAGCCUUGUCUGAAAAUAGCUCACAGAGUGCCGGUACAGCCCAAGCAAUAUUCGGGGAAGCGGACUCAUUAGCUGCGUUCGAUUCAAUGAAACCAACCCAUGCUCAGAGAAGUCAUGAGCCCAAAGUGACAGCUGCGCUGCCAAAAGUUGUUGUUUACCCAGUUAAUGUGUCGCCUUUAAGGGCAGAUAGCCCAAGAGUUACAGGUGCAGCGCCUGAACAAGCUGCGUCACAGCGCCAACGAGAGUUCCCAACUGCCAAUCUGAGAUCAAACAUCACGGUCCUCUCAUCGCUGAAAGAGGUAGUUGGUACAAGUCCUUCACUCGAUACUGUGAGUGAAGAUGAAGACCAGCAAUGUAAAUCUCCACUUUUAAGUGGACAUGCCCAGCUUCAGAGGCAACAAGCUACAGACGUUUCACAACAGCAACAGGCUAAGUGUCUACUAAGCCCUCGUAGUUUGGGAAGUACAGAUUCUGGCUACUUCUCUCGCUCUGAAAGUGCUGACCAGGCUAUGAGUCCACCUAGUCCAUUUGUGAAGAUAACACCACCAGCUGACAUUGAUCUAUCCAAAAAGGAUAUGUCUUCUGCCCCUCCUGUAAUUUCUACAGUAAUGCGUGCGGUAGCAGAGCAAAGAUCGCAAGUAACGGAUGGACAGAUGCGUCCCCCGUUAGAAACUAAAACCCUUUCUCUGGAAGAAAGAAUUUCAAAGCUGAUAUCUGACAAUGAGGCAGUGGUUGACAACAAGCAAUUGGACAGUGUUAAACCAAGGAGGACCUCUCUGUCAAGGAGAGGUAGCAUUGACUCUCCCAAAUCCUACAUAUUUAAAGACUCCUUUCAGUUUGAUCUUAAACCAAUAGGACGGCGGUCAAGUUCCAGCUCAGACAUUCCCAAGUCGCCUUUCACUCCCACAGAUAAAUCAAAGCCAGUUUUUCUUCUUUCUGUACCUUCUCAAUACCCCCCAAUGGAUUGUUUGCCGAUUACAAGGAGUAACUCUAUGCCGACAACACCAGGACACUCUGCUCUUCCAUUUAAUAUUGCUCACCUGGCCCACCCUUUACGAAUAUGUCAUUCUUUUGAUGAGAAAAGUACAAUAAACGAUGACGUAUUUUCAUCCGCACCUUCUACCCCCAAUCCAGCAAUACAUUCUCGGACUUUAGUCAGACAAGCAGCAGUGGAGGACUUUUCCACCAGUGAGGGGCACAGACUUCCUACCGUCCGCUCGAUGGAUGAUGCAUAUCAUGCUCUAAACAAUAGCACAGAAUCAAUGCAGAGAAGUCGGUCUUUUGAGUACAGUCAAGAAAGACAAAGAAAAUUUCAGCAAAAUAAAGGUACUAUGUAUGAGUGUGAAACUUGUCGAAACCGGUACAGAAAGUUAGAGAAUUUUGAAACUCACAAGAAAUUCUACUGCUCGGAACUUCACGGGCCAAAACACAAGCCUGUUGUUGUUAAAGAAAGUGAUCAAGAUGUUUUUCAUGCCAACACACAGACACAUUUAGUUCCAAGAUCAGCUAUUGGAUCAGGAGUAAUGGAUCACCAGAUAUCAAUCAGGAAGAGAAGGAAAAUGAAAAGUGUUGGAGAUGAGGACGAUCAAUCUCCAACUGACACAAAUCCACCGUGUUCGGUUAGUUUUGAUUCAGGCCAGUUACCUGUAACAGCCCUGGCAAGUCAAAGUUUUCCCCAGCAUGGUGUAAUGGUGGACAUUCAACCCAAAAUUAACCAGGCAAAGCCACCUCAAAUUCAGCUCAUAGCUCGAGGUCAAAGUGCUUCAGAUUCUAGACUGUCACCAAUCCGAGAGACACAGAUCAACACCUGCACGAAAGGGGAACUCCAGAGGCAAAGCAGUGGUACUUCAGUCAUCAGACAUACCAACUCUCUCAGCAGACCCAGUUCAUUUGAGACAGAAUCUACAGAAAAAGGUUCUCCUCUGGACAGCAACGAAAAGGAUCCUCUGAAAUCCAAAAAAGAUACAUCAUCAGAUAACAGCUACCAUGACAAGUUAUCAAACCAGAAAACUAUAGAAGCUGAUUAUGGUAAUCAAAGAAUGGAGCAAUCUACUGAUGGUACAGUGGCUGCAACUGGGGAAAUCUCUACACCUUCCCAUCAGUGCCGUCUAGUUCGUCAAAACAACAUCCAAGUUCCUGAGAUUUUAGUCACAGAGGAACCUGACAGAGAACACGAAGCACAGACAUCUGAGCCAACAGAAAAGCCCGCAGAUCAGUUCAACUGGCCACAAAGAAGCGAGAGUUUGUCAAAGUUACCGACUGAAAAACUCCCACCAAAAAAGAAAAGAAUUCGUCUUGCUCAAAUGGACCACUCCUCAGGCGAAUCAAGCUUUGAGUCGAGUCUCUCACGCAGCCUGAGCAGAGAUAGUACUCUCUCACACUGUUCCAGCAUUUCAGCCUCCUUUGACAGAGAAGAAGCAUCACGGUCAGAGAGUCCAUCAAGAGUAGAAUGUAUGAACAAAAUUCCAGAGCAGCUAAGUCAACCCAAAGUAUUCAGUACGCUAGGUGUACCUGGAGCAAUGAGGCGAGCUGCAUCCGAACAGAUUACCUGUACCCAACCCUCAGUGGAAAUUUCAUGUGACUACCGUAGCAAGUCUUUUGACUGUGGAAAUGUAUCCCCCAAGAGAGGCCCAUCACCUAUUGGGCAGCCUAAAUGUGGACCAAUCCAGGUUCCACUUAUUGAAAGAAGGCGUGGCCCAUUAGUUCGUCAAAUGUCUUUAAAAAUAUGCCCAGAUAAUCAGCAGCCUGUACGGAAGGCUGUCAUCACCCUCGACAAAGCUCCAAAUACAAAUGCAAACCAAAAUAGAUGCCAGCAAAUUCAAAUUGUCAAUAGAUUUCCCUUGGCCCAACCUGUCGUCCUACAAUCUGGAGAAAUUCCCCUGCAAAGAAAUGAGCAAACGAUCCAAAGUAUCAACCUGGGGAGCACAACACAGCAAACCCAAAUCUAUGGCCUUCCACACCCUUGGCAUCAAACAUCUAAAAUGCAAACCUGCCAAAGGGUACCGCAACCUUUGAGCCAGAUCAUAGUUGGUGGUGACAAUGCCCGAAACAAGCCAGCUGACGUAGAAGAAAACAAAUGUUAUGUGCCCAAAUACCAAUUGCCGUGUCCUACGCAAAGACCAAGUCAAAUGUUUUCUUUCACCAGCACACACGGAUCUCACGUCGCAUUGCCAGCUUUAACAAUGCCCAUCGCCAAUCCGAUUUUGAGCAUUCCAAAACCAUCGGAUGAACUCAGAAAAGUGUAUACCGCUCCACCCGAUCAACACGCCUCUGAUGUUAAGAACACAUCUGUUGUUUUGCAUGGUGAACAGAGGAGGGAGUCAAACAAUCACCUGCAAUCAGGUGGUAUUCCAUUGCCACAGAUCCUCAUAACUCAUGAGCAAAUGCACACUGCUCCUACUGUCUCUGGCAAAAAUGCAUUUCCAUCCAUUCAUCUUGUAGAUACUGAAACUCAUACUGCACCAAGUGUAAAGAAGGGUUGCACUCAAUUUGUUAAUAUUAAUAACAAUAGUGGGGAAAGAGUGUCGUGUCCGGGCUCUUUACAUUGCACACAGAAACUUGCGUCAGUGACUCUAUGCCCACAACAGGAGCCCAUUGCUUCAAGUAAAAGAAUGCUGUCACCUGCCAACAGUUUGGACAUCUACAUGGAAAAGCAUCAAAAACGAGCUAAGGACGAGCACGGUGUGGCCUGCCUGACCGACGGAAGAUCUGUCAAUUAUCUCAAUUCCAACUUGUCGGAAGUAACCAGACAGCGGAAACUGACGCUUGUAAGGCAGGUUUGCACAACUGAACCAGUGGACAGUCCUAUCGAAACCGAGGCCCCUCCCUUUCCUCAAGUUAAGACGGAUACUGAGAAGGACCUUGAUGAUGUUAAGCCUAUGUCACCUGACAGUACCAGUAUUGAAAAAGACGCAAGCAAAGUUAUUCCCGAAGAAGCCGGCCGUGCUGUAAAUACUUCACCUGAUCGCCAGGCUUCCCCUAUGCCAGCUAAUAACCCUCAGAAGACGCCACAGAAAAUGGAGGAGCAGAGGUGGAAUCCCAGCAAAUCGCCAAUCAGACCCUCGAGUUUCCAUGGUGGUCAAGUAAAACUGACUACAUCCGUGUCCGUGUUUAACACAAAAGACAGCCAUCGCCUUUCCUUCCCCAGCCUGAAGACGACCACCACUUUCACGUGGUGCUUCUUGAUGAAGAGAAAACCACUUCACGUGCUACAGAGUGACCUGAAGACUUCAGCUUACGCUGCAUGGGCAGUCAACCCAAACAAUCCGAACCCACUUGGGUUGCCCACAAAGGUGGCCAUGUCCCUUCUUGACUCCAAACACACCUCCAAAAAAAUCCACUACACUUCUGCUAUCAAAACCACUGGGAAAUCGGACAUCUUGUCUUACUCGGGCAAGCUCAAAGAUGUCAUGCCAAGGGUGCCAUUGAUCCAGAAGACUUUAUCAGUGGAAAGCAGGAGUAAAGUGCAAAAAGAAACUCAUUCAAGCAAUGAGUCAGACAAGGAGGUGGCAUCAAAAACAGAACCAAGGCGGAUCAAAAUCUUUGACGGCGGAUACAAAUCCAAUGAAGAGUAUGUUUACGUACGUGGGCGAGGGCGCGGUAAAUACCAGUGCGAGGAAUGCGGGAUCCGCUGUAAGAAGCCCAGCAUGUUGCGCAAACAUAUUCGUACCCACUCUGAUGUUCGGCCAUACCACUGCAUCCACUGCAACUUCUCCUUCAAGACCAAAGGGAAUCUCACCAAGCACAUGAAGUCCAAGGCACACAGUAAGAAAUGCUUGGAGAUGGGCGUGCCGAACGUACUCACCGAAGACCAGGAUGCAGAGGAUUCAGGAGACCGCAGUCAGGUGAGCAGUGCCGACCGCCAAGAUUCGGACGGCGACGACUCUGACGGCCCCGAUGAGGACGACAACGAGGACGAGGAAGAGGAGGACAGCCAAGCCGAGUCGGGCCUGUCCACAAACCCCUCGGUCUCCGCCAGCCCGCAGCAUGUUCCAUCUAAGGAGGCCGAGGUGCCCCCCAGUGCCCUCCUGGCGCAGAUGUCCAUCAGCUCCCUGUCGCAGACCCCGGCCGCCCAACCCCGGGCAUCAGACUCGCCGUCCGUCCCCGUGGUCAACCCUUUGUCGCUGAGUAAGCAGAUGUCCAUCUCGGGGUCCUGUCCCAGCCUGGCGCCGCUCUGCUGGGGUUCCCUCCCGCCCGCCAGCGCCGACUGCAACCUCUCGGACACGGAGUCGGUGCACAUGAUGAGCCCCGUGUCGCCGUGCCGGCAGAUGUCCAUCGACUUCGACGUGCCUCCCAGCCCGCCGGUGACGGGGACGGCCUUCAGACCGAGCCAGGCGCCCGCUUCUGCCGCUCAUCCUAUGGCGCCGACGGAGUCCGGCUCGCCGGUGGACCGCGGCACUCAGACCUCCACUUCGCAGAGUCCCACCCACGUCCCGCUCCCGGUUCUGUGUCCAGCCCCGCGGAUGGCGACGCACCUCUUCAGCCACCUGCCCCUGCACUCCCAGCAGCCCCUGCGCUCGCCUUACAGCAUGAUCCCCGUGGGGGGCAUCCAACUGGUGCCCGCCGGACUGGCAGCUUAUUCCACCUUCGUGCCGAUUCAGGCCGGCCCCGUUCAGCUCGCCAUCCCGGCGGCGGCCGUCAGCGUCAUCCAUAGAAACGGCAGCCCGGCGCCCGACUCGGCCGACUCCCAGGGUCGGACUCUGCAGCCCCUCGGUUUAAUGUCCCCGCUGCUGCCCCAUCCGGGGGUCGCCCUGCAGGUCCUCGCCGCGUCCCAAAGCCCCCAAACGCACGUCCCUGGCCUGCAGAUCGUGAACAUCGCCCUGCCCGCCGUCAUCCCCGCCCUCAGCCCGAUCCCCGCCCCCAGUCCUGAGCGGCGAGGGAGCCCCGACGCUCUCAGAGCGCCGACAGAAACCCCCCCGGGUCGCACGGCCACACCCACUCCCCCGCCCGCACCCGUCACCUCCGGCCUCGCACAGACACCAAAAAGCCCAGCACGUAGCGCGGCGUCCCCCAACGCCGCACCGAAGACCGCGCCCCCGGUGUCCAACUGGCCGACGGUGGUCGACGACUACAACGAGGUUUCUAGCGACGACGAGGACAGACUCGUUAUUGCCACCUGAGACCCCCCCCCCCCCCCACUUUUUUUUCCCCACCAACUGUCACUUUAAAACUGAAAAACACUUUCUUGACAAAUCACCUUUGAAAGCACAGAUGUUCAUAUUGUACGUGAUGACCAAUCCUUCGCUUCGUCAGCUCCGGGAAGUCCUUUUUUUUUUUUUUUUUUUUUUUUUUUGUACAUGUUGUAUAGACGAUCGUGCCUUGAUGGAGUUUGUUGUUGAGGAACUUGUACAUAACUCGUUGCUGGUGUUUAUAUACAUACAUACAGUAUAUUAUAUAUAUAUAUAUAUAUGUAUAAAAACAAAAGGCGGUAUAACAACGGACUAUAUUGGUUUUAUUCAAAAUGACUUGUCGUACUGGUAUAUGUACAUUUCUAUGGAUUAUGUGUACAAAUGUUGUGUUCAGCUAUUUAUUAUAUUCCAUCUAGUGCCCGUUUAUGAUUUAUUGGUCCAUAGCUAUGUGCAUUUUUGGUAGCUUGACAUUGCUGUAUCCAUUCUUCUAAACUGUACGAGUAAAGACUUCUCUACAAACAAGCUAUUAUGAACUCUUAGGAGGGGUCCUCUUAAUCCGGGGGUCGGCAACCCGCGGCUCUGGAGCCGCAUGCGGCUCUUUAGCGCCGCCCUAGUGGCUCUCUGGAGAUUUUUCAAAAAUGUAUGAAGAAUGGAAAAAGAUGAGGGGAAAAAAAUAAAUUUUUUUGUUUCAGAAUGUUUUCUGUGGGAGGACAAACAUGACAUAAACCUCGCUAAUUGUUAUAAAUCACACUGUUUAUAUUAAACAUGCUUCACUGAUUCGAGUAUUUGGCGAGCGCCGUUUUGUCCUACUAAUUUUGGCGGUCCUUGAACUCGCCGUAUAGUUUGUUUCCAUGUAUAACUUUCUCCGACUUUCUAGGACGUGUUUUAUGCCACUUUUUCUAUCUCAUUUUGUCCACCACACUUUUAACGUUGGGCAUGAGUGCACAAAGGAACGGGAAGGAUGAAAGUGAGUGUAAAGGACAAUAAUGAGAAGAAGAAGUGGAUGAUAUUCAUUGAAUUGAAGAAAGAAAUCAUCCAAAACAUGCCCGAGGGUGUCGACGACUUCAAGCGUACUCAUGCCAGUCUGCACCAUACCGAAGCAGGAGGAGUCGAUAGCGCCAGCCAAGUAAGUAAUAAUUACGUCUAAACGGCGGACAUUUAUCCAUGAAAAUAUGGAAAAGCUGCUGAUGAUGUAUUUGACGGAGAAGGAGACACCACUUUCCAAGGGAAUGCUGUACAAUAUUA
Molecule: RNA transcript, 9870 nt
Organism: Entelurus aequoreus (snake pipefish)
Lineage: Eukaryota; Metazoa; Chordata; Actinopteri; Syngnathiformes; Syngnathidae
Gene: hivep1
Gene name: HIVEP zinc finger 1
Exons: 11
Source: RefSeq, a predicted model, not a curated record